CGCGGCCUUCGCCGACGCGGAGGCGCGCCUCUUCCUGCGCGGCGACGACGUCGACCCGCUCGGCCCGGGCGACCGCGUCC
This 80-nucleotide transfer RNA is filed under the name Frondihabitans sp. 762G35. Its description in RNAcentral is "tRNA-Arg". Lineage: Bacteria; Bacillati; Actinomycetota; Actinomycetes; Micrococcales; Microbacteriaceae. The record is from RNAcentral.